RNAcentral lists this ribosomal RNA (470 nucleotides) under uncultured bacterium. Its description in RNAcentral is "bacterial SSU rRNA". It matches the Rfam family "Bacterial small subunit ribosomal RNA", at positions 329 to 794 of the family's 1533-position model. The record is from RNAcentral.
UGCCAGACUCCUACGGGAGGCAGCAGUGAGGAAUAUUGGUCAAUGGGCGGAAGCCUGAACCAGCCAAGUCGCGUGAGGGAAUAAGGCCCUACGGGUCGUAAACCUCUUUUGCCGGGGAGCAAGGGCGGGGACGUGUCCCGGCCCGGAGAGUACCCGGAGAAAAAGCAUCGGCUAACUCCGUGCCAGCAGCCGCGGUAAUACGGAGGGUGCGAGCGUUAAUCGGAAUUACUGGGCGUAAAGCGCACGUAGGCUGUAUGACAAGUCAAGGGUGAAAUGCCACGGCUCAACCGUGGAACUGCCUUUGAAACUGUCAAACUGGAGUAUGUGAGAGGGCGGCGGAAUUCCUGGUGUAGGAGUGAAAUCCGUAGAUAUCAGGAGGAACAUCAGUGGCGAAGGCGGCCGCCUGGCACAAAACUGACGCUGAAGUGCGAAAGCGUGGGUAGCAAACAGGAUUAGAUACCCCUGUAAAU